This 460-nucleotide ribosomal RNA is filed under the name uncultured bacterium. Its description in RNAcentral is "partial 16S ribosomal RNA". It matches the Rfam family "Bacterial small subunit ribosomal RNA", at positions 338 to 795 of the family's 1533-position model. The record is from RNAcentral.
CCUACGGGAGGCAGCAGUGAGGAAUAUUGGUCAAUGGCCGUAAGGCUGAACCAGCCAAGUCGCGUGAAGGAAGAAGGAUCUAUGGUUUGUAAACUUCUUUUAUAGGGGAAUAAAGGUAUCCACGUGUGGAUAUUGGCAUGUACCCUAUGAAUAAGCAUCGGCUAACUCCGUGCAAGCAGCCGCGGUAAUACGGAGGAUGCGAGCGUUAUCCGGAUUGAUGGGGUUUAAAGGGUGCGUAGGUUGUUGUUUAAGUCAGCGGUGAAAGUUUGUGGCUCAACCAUAAAAUUGCCGUUGAAACUGGAAGACUUGAGUGUGUUUGAGGUAGGCGGAAUGCGUGGUGUAGCGGUGAAAUGCAUAGAUAUCACGCAGAACUCCGAUUGCGCAGGCAGCUUACUAAGCCAUAACUGACACUGAAGCACGACAGCGUGGGGAUCAAACAGGAUUAGAUACCCCUGUAGUC